This 1072-nucleotide ribosomal RNA is filed under the name human gut metagenome. RNAcentral describes it as "bacterial SSU rRNA". It matches the Rfam family "Bacterial small subunit ribosomal RNA", at positions 368 to 1452 of the family's 1533-position model. The record is from RNAcentral.
GCAAUGGAGGAAACUCUGACCCAGCAACGCCGCGUGAAGGAUGAAGGUCUUCGGAUUGUAAACUUCUGUUCUAAGGGACGAAACAAAUGACUGUACCUUAGUAAGAAGCCCCGGCAAACUACGUGCCAGCAGCCGCGGUGAUACGUAGGGGGCAAGCGUUGUCCGGAAUGACUGGGCGUAAAGGGAGUGUAGGCGGUUUUUUAAGUUAGAUGUGAAAUCCUGGGGCUUAACUCCAGAACUGCAUUUAAUACUGGAAGACUUGAGUGUGGGAGAGGUAAGUGGAAUUCCUAGUGUAGCGGUGGAAUGCAUAGAUAUUAGGAGGAACAUCAGUGGCGAAGGCGACUUACUGGAACAUAACUGACGCUGAGGCUCGAAAGCGUGGGGAGCAAACAGGAUUAGAUACCCUGGUAGUCCACGCCCUAAACGAUGGAUACUAGAUGUAGGCGGUAUCGACUCCGCCUGUAUCGUAGCUAACGCAAUAAGUAUCCCGCCUGAGUAGUACGGCCGCAAGGUUGAAACUUAAAGAAAUUGACGGGGACCCGCACAAGCAGAGGAGCAUGACGUUUAAUUCGAUGCAACGCGAAAAACCUUACCAAGGCUUGACAUCCGCAGAACACCUGAGAAAUCAGAAUGGUAUAGCAAUAUACUGCGAGACAGGUGGUGCAUGGUUGUCGUCAGCUCGUGUCGUGAGAUGUUCGGUUAAGUCCGGUAACGAGCGCAACCCUUGUCACUAGUUGCCAAUAUUUAGUUAGGAACUCUAGUGAGACUGCCGUGGAUAACACGGAGGAAGGUGGGGAUGACGUCAAAUCAUCAUGCCCCUUACGCCUUGGGCUACACUCGUGCUACAAUGGCAGUUACAAAGAGAUGCAAUAUCGUAAGGUGGAGCAAAUCUCAAAAAGGCUGUCCCAGUUCGGAUUGAGGGCUGCAACCCGCCCUCAUGAAGCUGAAUUUGCUAGUAAUCCCGAAUCAGCAUGUCGGGGUGAAUGCGUUCCCGGGUCUUGUACACACCGCCUGUCAAGCCAUGAGAGUUGAGAGCACCCAAAACCGUUUGCCUAACCCGCAAGGGAGGGCG